Molecule: ribosomal RNA, 377 nt
Filed under: uncultured Glomus
Lineage: Eukaryota; Fungi; Glomeromycota; Glomeromycetes; Glomerales; Glomeraceae
Description: SSU rRNA
Rfam family: Eukaryotic small subunit ribosomal RNA
Source: RNAcentral
UGAAUUUCGGGGUCAGUGCGCCGGUCAUGCCUAUGGUAUGUACUCGCUCACAGGCCGUUACCUUCUUGAAGAGCCGUAAUGCCAUUAAUUUGGUGUUGCGGGGAAUCAGGACUGUUACUUUGAAAAAAUUAGAGUGUUUAAAGCAGGCAAUCGCUUGAAUACAUUAGCAUGGAAUAAUGAAAUAGGACGUUCGAUCCUAUUUUGUUGGUUUCUAGGAUUGACGUAAUGAUUAAUAGGGAUAGUUGGGGGCAUUAGUAUUCAAUUGUCAGAGGUGAAAUUCUUGGAUUUAUUGAAGACUAACUACUGCGAAAGCAUUUGCCAAGGAUGUUUUCAUUAAUCAAGAACGAAAGUUAGGGGAUCGAAGACGAUCAGAUACC